RNAcentral lists this microRNA (23 nucleotides) under Pristionchus pacificus. Its description in RNAcentral is "ppc-miR-2238i-5p". The record is from miRBase by way of RNAcentral. Lineage: Eukaryota; Metazoa; Nematoda; Chromadorea; Rhabditida; Neodiplogasteridae.
CCGUUCACUCAUCUCGUCAAUCG